GACCUCUAAUCGGAAAAGACCACCCGCUGAGUUUAAGCAUAUCACUAAGCGGAGGAGAAGAAACUAACCAGGAUUUCCCUAGUAACGGCGAGCGAACCGGAAAGAGCCCAGCUUGGAAAUCGAGGUGCCUCGCACCCCGAGUUGUAGUCUGGAGAAGGUCCCUCUGCGACGCGCCGGACCCAAGUUCCCUGGAAAGGGACGUCAUCGAGGGUGACAACCCCGUCCGCGCCCGGAAGGCGUCGCUCCACGAGGACCUGUCUGCGAGUCGGGCUGUUUGGGAAUGCAGCCCUAAUCCGGUGGUAAAUUCCAUCGAAGGCUAAAUAUGGGCAAGAGACCGAUAGCGAACAAGACCGCGA
RNAcentral lists this ribosomal RNA (356 nucleotides) under Pterobryopsis orientalis. Its description in RNAcentral is "eukaryotic LSU rRNA". It matches the Rfam family "Eukaryotic large subunit ribosomal RNA", at positions 1 to 356 of the family's 3401-position model. Lineage: Eukaryota; Viridiplantae; Streptophyta; Bryopsida; Hypnales; Pterobryaceae. The record is from RNAcentral.